UACAUGCAAGUCGAACGAGAAUCUGGGCUUCGGUCAAGAGGAAAAGUGGCGGACGGGUGAGUAACUGUGGUAGAGAAUCUAGCCCUUUAGUGGGGGACAACAGUUGGAAACGACUGGCUAAUACCCCGAUAUGCGCGUAGCUGAGAUGCUAUUCGUGAAAACUCCGGUGCUAAAGGAUGAGUCUGCAUCUGAUUAGCUAGUUGGCGGUGUAAUGGACCACCAAGGCGACGAUCAGUAGCUGGUUUGAGAGGAUGAUCAGCCACAAUGGGACUGAGGACACGGCCCAUACUCCUACGGGAGGCAGCAGUAGGGAAUUUUGCGCAAUGGGGGAAACCCUGACGACAGCAACGCCGCGUGAUUGAAUAAGCCCUUCGGGGUGUAAAGAUCUGUCCAGUGGGGACGAAACUUGACGGUACCCACAGAGGAAGCAUCGGCUAACUCCGUGCCAGCCGCCGC
Molecule: ribosomal RNA, 456 nt
Filed under: uncultured bacterium
Lineage: Bacteria
Description: bacterial SSU rRNA
Rfam family: Bacterial small subunit ribosomal RNA
Source: RNAcentral